GUGCUUGCGUCGGCAGCGCAUACACCAAAAUGGGAACGAUACAGUGAAGCUUAGCAUGGCCCCUGCGCAAGGAUGACUCGCAAAUUUGUGAAGCGUUCCAUAUUUUU
Molecule: small nuclear RNA, 107 nt
Organism: Sciurus carolinensis (gray squirrel)
Lineage: Eukaryota; Metazoa; Chordata; Mammalia; Rodentia; Sciuridae
Source: RefSeq, a predicted model, not a curated record